RNAcentral lists this ribosomal RNA (589 nucleotides) under Allopsoroptoides galli. RNAcentral's name for it is "SSU rRNA". It matches the Rfam family "Eukaryotic small subunit ribosomal RNA", at positions 572 to 1167 of the family's 1831-position model. Lineage: Eukaryota; Metazoa; Arthropoda; Arachnida; Sarcoptiformes; Psoroptoididae. The record is from RNAcentral.
AGCCGCGGUAAUUCCAGCUCCAAUAGCGUAUAUUAAAGUUGUUGUGGUUAAAAAGCUCGUAGUUGGAUCUCAGCCUAUGUAUAAUGGUCCACUUUGUCGGUGGUUACUGUUAUACUGGGCAGUUUACCUGAUCGUCCAUUGGUGUUCUUCAUUGAAUGUCAAUGGUGGUCGGUACGUUUACUUUGAAAAAAUUAGAGUGCUCAAAGCAGGCCCUAGGCCUGAAUACUGUUGCAUGGAAUAAUGGAAUAGGACCUUGGUUCUGUUCUGUUGGUCUUCGGAAUCGAGGUAAUGAUUAAGAGGGACGGACGGGGACAUUAGUACUGCGGCGAUAGAGGUGAAAUUCUUGGACCGCCGCAUGACUAACCAAAGCGAAAGCAUUUGUCAAGAACGUUUUCAUUAAUCAAGAACGAAAGUUAGAGGUUCGAAGGCGAUCAGAUACCGCCCUAGUUCUAACCAUAAACGAUGCCAACCAGCAAUCAGCCAGAGUUUUAUUUGACUCGGCUGGCGGCUUCCGGGAAACCAAAGUUUUUCGGUUCCAGGGGAAGUAUGGUUGCAAAGCUGAAACUUAAAGGAAUUGACGGAAGGGCAC